This 497-nucleotide ribosomal RNA is filed under the name uncultured bacterium. RNAcentral describes it as "partial 16S ribosomal RNA". It matches the Rfam family "Bacterial small subunit ribosomal RNA", at positions 28 to 507 of the family's 1533-position model. The record is from RNAcentral.
GAUGAACGCUGGCGGCGUGCCUAAUACAUGCAAGUCGAGCGAACAGAUGAGGAGCUUGCUCCUCUGACGUUAGCGGCGGACGGGUGAGUAACACGUGGAUAACCUACCUAUAAGACUGGGAUAACUUCGGGAAACCGGAGCUAAUACCGGAUAAUAUAUUGAACCGCAUGGUUCAAUAGUGAAAGACGGUUUUGCUGUCACUUAUAGAUGGAUCCGCGCCGCAUUAGCUAGUUGGUAAGGUAACGGCUUACCAAGGCAACGAUGCGUAGCCGACCUGAGAGGGUGAUAGGCCAAAGUGGAGCUGAGACACGGUCCAGACUCAUACGGGAGGCAGCAGGAGGGAAUCUUCCGCAAUGGGCGAAAGCAUGACGGAGCAAGGCCGCGUGAGUGAUAAAGGUCUUCGGAUCGUAAAACUCUGUUAUUAGGGAAGAACAAAUGUGUAAGUAACUAUGCACGUCUUGACGGUACCUAAUCAGAAAGCCACGGCUAACUACGUG